RNAcentral lists this ribosomal RNA (450 nucleotides) under uncultured bacterium. RNAcentral describes it as "partial 16S ribosomal RNA". It matches the Rfam family "Bacterial small subunit ribosomal RNA", at positions 354 to 796 of the family's 1533-position model. The record is from RNAcentral.
GUGGGGAAUUUUGGACAAUGGGCGAAAGCCUGAUCCAGCCAUGCCGCGUGCAGGAUGAAGGCCUUCGGGUUGUAAACUGCUUUUGUACGGAACGAAAAGACUCCUUCUAAUAAAGGGGGUCCAUGACGGUACCGUAAGAAUAAGCACCGGCUAACUACGUGCCAGCAGCCGCGGUAAUACGUAGGGUGCAAGCGUUAAUCGGAAUUACUGGGCGUAAAGCGUGCGCAGGCGGUUAUAUAAGACAAAUGUGAAAUCCCCGGGCUCAACCUGGGAACUGCAUUUGUGACUGUAUAGCUAGAGUACGGUAGAGGGGGAUGGAAUUCCGCGUGUAGCAGUGAAAUGCGUAGAUAUGCGGAGGAACACCGAUGGCGAAGGCAAUCCCCUGGACCUGUACUGACGCUCAUGCACGAAAGCGUGGGGAGCAAACAGGAUUAGAUACCCUGGUAGUCC